CCUACGGGAGGCUGCAGUGGGGAAUAUUGGACAAUGGGGGGAACCCUGAUCCGGCCAUGCCGCGUGUGUGAAGAAGGCCCUCGGGUUGUAAAGCACUUUCAGUGAGGAAGAACGCCUGGUGGUUAAUACCCAUCAGGAAAGACAUCACUCACAGAAGAAGCACCGGCUAACUCCGUGCCAGCAGCCGCGGUAAUACGGAGGGUGCGAGCGUUAAUCGGAAUUACUGGGCGUAAAGCGCGCGUAGGUGGCUUGAUAAGCCGGUUGUGAAAGCCCCGGGCUCAACCUGGGAACGGCAUCCGGAACUGUCAAGCUAGAGUGCAGGAGAGGAAGGUAGAAUUCCCGGUGUAGCGGUGAAAUGCGUAGAGAUCGGGAGGAAUACCAGUGGCGAAGGCGGCCUUCUGGACUGACACUGACACUGAGGUGCGAAAGCGUGGGUAGCAAACAGGAUUAGAUACCCUAGUAGUC
This 465-nucleotide ribosomal RNA is filed under the name Vreelandella stevensii. RNAcentral describes it as "partial 16S ribosomal RNA". It matches the Rfam family "Bacterial small subunit ribosomal RNA", at positions 338 to 795 of the family's 1533-position model. The record is from RNAcentral. Lineage: Bacteria; Pseudomonadati; Pseudomonadota; Gammaproteobacteria; Oceanospirillales; Halomonadaceae.